CAGUAGCCACGGUAAUACGAAGGGUGCAAGCGUUAAUCGGAAUUACUGGGCGUAAAGCGUGCGUAGGCGGUUUGUUAAGUCUGUUGUGAAAUCCCCGGGCUCAACCUGGGAAUGGCAAUGGAUACUGGCAAGCUAGAGUGUGUCAGAGGAUGGUGGAAUUCCCGGUGUAGCGGUGAAAUGCGUAGAGAUCGGGAGGAACAUCAGUGGCGAAGGCGGCCAUCUGGGACAACACUGACGCUGAGGCACGAAAGCGUGGGGAGCAAACAGGAUUAGAUACCCGGGUAGUCCCUGUCUCUUAUAC
RNAcentral lists this ribosomal RNA (301 nucleotides) under uncultured bacterium. RNAcentral's name for it is "partial 16S ribosomal RNA". It matches the Rfam family "Bacterial small subunit ribosomal RNA", at positions 509 to 807 of the family's 1533-position model. The record is from RNAcentral.